UUUCCGUAGGUGAACCUGCGGAAGGAUCAUUACCGAGUUAGGGUUGCCUUCUAGGUGCCCGACCUCCCAACCCUUUGUGAAUCGUACUCGUUGCUUCGGGGGCGACCCUGCCGUCCGCGGCUGAGCGCCCCCGGAGGCUCAUCAAACACUGCAUCUUUGCGUCGGAGUCUUAAUGAAUUUAAACAAAACUUUUAACAACGGAUCUCUUGGUUCUGGCAUCGAUGAAGAACGCAGC
This 235-nucleotide unclassified non-coding RNA is filed under the name uncultured fungus. RNAcentral's name for it is "sequence contains ITS1, 5.8S rRNA gene". The stretch from base 187 to 235 matches the Rfam family "5.8S ribosomal RNA", at positions 1 to 49 of the family's 154-position model. Lineage: Eukaryota; Fungi. The record is from RNAcentral.